Molecule: ribosomal RNA, 468 nt
Filed under: uncultured bacterium
Lineage: Bacteria
Description: partial 16S ribosomal RNA
Rfam family: Bacterial small subunit ribosomal RNA
Source: RNAcentral
GACGAACGCUGGCGGCGUGCUUAACACAUGCAAGUCGAACGGAAAGGCCCUGCUUUUGUGGGGUGCUCGAGUGGCGAACGGGUGAGUAACACGUGAGUAACCUGCCCUUGACUUUGGGAUAACUUCAGGAAACUGGGGCUAAUACCGGAUAGGAGCUCCUGCUGCAUGGUGGGGGUUGGAAAGUUUCGGCGGUUGGGGAUGGACUCGCGGCUUAUCAGCUUGUUGGUGGGGUAGUGGCUUACCAAGGCUUUGACGGGUAGCCGGCCUGAGAGGUUGACCGGCAACAUUGGGACUGAGAUACGGCCCAGACUCCUACGGGAGGCAGCAGUGGGGAAUAUUGCACAAUGGGCGGAAGCCUGAUGCAGCAACGCCGCGUGCGGGAUGACGGCCUUCGGGUUGUAAACCGCUUUCGCCUGUGACGAAGCGUGAGUGACGGUAAUGGGUAAAGAAGCACCGGCUAACUACGUG